RNAcentral lists this transfer RNA (70 nucleotides) under Dipodomys ordii (Ord's kangaroo rat). It matches the Rfam family "tRNA". From Rfam's summary of the family: Transfer RNA (tRNA) molecules are approximately 80 nucleotides in length. The record is from Rfam by way of RNAcentral. Lineage: Eukaryota; Metazoa; Chordata; Mammalia; Rodentia; Heteromyidae.
GGGAAUGGGGCUAAGUGGUAGAGUGCUUGCCUAGCAUGCAUGAAGCCCUGGGUUCGAGUCCUCAAUCCCA